UCUCCACGUUUCUCCCUUGCAGGAGAUUCCGUGGACGCAGAGCGAGGCAUAUGAUUCUUCUAUGGGGGAUGUAACGAAGAGCUUGAAGCUCUGGAUGACAUGUAUUUCCUCGACACAGAGAUGCUGAGGGAGAAAGAUCCAUCAGAACCAAAGCUAUCCAUGCGUAAGGAACUUAAGAGAAGGCGGCAAGAGUAUCGUGCCACGCCAUUCGUGCUAGGCAAGCAACGGGAUGCGGACAAGAGCUUGGUUUCAUCUCACGGAGAGUUUCAAGCUCA
Molecule: long non-coding RNA, 275 nt
Organism: Selaginella moellendorffii
Lineage: Eukaryota; Viridiplantae; Streptophyta; Lycopodiopsida; Selaginellales; Selaginellaceae
Exons: 3
Source: RefSeq, a predicted model, not a curated record